This 618-nucleotide long non-coding RNA is filed under the name Oryza sativa Indica Group (long-grained rice). RNAcentral describes it as "lncRNA OsLiXu_05g0009450". The record is from RNAcentral. Lineage: Eukaryota; Viridiplantae; Streptophyta; Magnoliopsida; Poales; Poaceae.
AGGGGCAGGAUCACGCCGUCGCCGGUGUCGAACACCUGGUGGGCGCCGGCUGCGCCGCCGCCACAGGCUUCUCGGCCAGUUGGGUGGCGGGGUGUUGAGGAGGUGUGCCCGUUGCCGUUGCUGCUAUUGGAGGGAGCCGGGAGCCGUUACGCGAGGGAGGUCGAGCGUCGAACACCUGCGCCCGUCGCCGACCGCCGUCCGUCCCUAUUUCGACCGCGCCGCGCCACUCGCCGUCGAACUUCGCCGUUCCGCCACUUCGUGGCUAGAUUUUGCUUAUAUAUACUCCAUGUGGACCCUAGAUGGUUGAAUCGUAGCCGGUUGCGCUCACAUUGGUCCUCAUCGUGCCGCCGCCGAGUUUGGGAUCUCGGCGCCGACGCGCGCCGUCGUGCCGCGCGCCGAACGGUCGCCGCGCUUCGCCGCCGCCACCGGCGGGCAUCCGGUGAUGCGCCGCCGCUCGCCUCGCCGUGCGCCGAGCUGUUCCGGCUCGGGCCGUCGCGCCGCCGCGCACUGCUCCUCUGUUCGGCCGCGCGCGCGAGGUUGAAGACGACGGGAGAGAGAGAAGACACGAGAGAGGGAGGGGUUAUGACAUGUGGACCCCAUUUCAUUAGCGCACAGUAA